RNAcentral lists this long non-coding RNA (242 nucleotides) under Prunus persica (peach). RNAcentral describes it as "long non-coding RNA (PPER_LNC003217)". Lineage: Eukaryota; Viridiplantae; Streptophyta; Magnoliopsida; Rosales; Rosaceae. The record is from RNAcentral.
CGUUAGGCUGCUGGAAUAAAAAGACCCCCACAAUAUAUAUAUAAUAGAAAAUAAUAUACCAUCCCGUAAUUCAAAUUUUCCAAAUUCUCAAUAUACAUAGUAUAAAAAAUAAUCUCUCAAAAGCAUAAAUUCCAUAAAGACCCAAAAUAUCAUUCAAAUAAUAAUCAAAACUUGCUUACACAUGCAAUUCCCACAAAAUACUUUCAUAAUCGAACCCCAUAUCACCCAAUCCAUAUAUUUUA